RNAcentral lists this ribosomal RNA (506 nucleotides) under uncultured bacterium. RNAcentral's name for it is "partial 16S ribosomal RNA". It matches the Rfam family "Bacterial small subunit ribosomal RNA", at positions 28 to 523 of the family's 1533-position model. The record is from RNAcentral.
GAUGAACGCUAGCGGCAGGCCUAACACAUGCAAGUCGAGGGGCAGCACAUAAAGUGGUUUACUACUUUUGGUGGCGACCGGCGGACGGGUGCGUAACGCGUAUGCAACCUGCCUCCAACAGGGGGAUAACGGAGAGAAAUUUCCACUAAUACCCCAUAAUAUCAGAAUCGGCAUCGGUUUUGGUUGAAAACUCCGGUGGUUGGAGAUGGGCAUGCGUUGUAUUAGAUAGUUGGUGAGGUAACGGCUCACCAAGUCAACGAUACAUAGGGGGACUGAGAGGUUGGCCCCCCACACUGGUACUGAGACACGGACCAGACUCCUACGGGAGGCAGCAGUGGGGAAUAUUGGUCAAUGGGGGCAACCCUGAACCAGCCAUGCCGCGUGCAGGAAGUCGGCUCUAUGAGUUGUAAACUGCUUUUACAAGGGGAUAAAUCGGUGUACGUGUACACCGUUGAAGGUACCUUGGGAAUAAGGAUCGGCUAACUCCGUGCCAGCCGCCGCGGUAA